This 2800-nucleotide long non-coding RNA is filed under the name Homo sapiens (human). RNAcentral describes it as "non-protein coding lnc-FAM167B-2:1". The record is from RNAcentral. Lineage: Eukaryota; Metazoa; Chordata; Mammalia; Primates; Hominidae.
CCCUCCCCCUGCAAAUGAUGCACCAAAGGGAGGGCUGUCCAAGUAAGGCUCCAUCCUAAUAAAACUGUCCAUGAUACAAAAAGCACACCAAAGUACCCAAGGGAGCGGACUCAGUAAAAGGGAUUAUCAGGUAUAUUCACGUUACUGGUUGGGGGACUUCUACUAAAAUACCAAUUAGAAUAAUUGCUCUAUAUCCCUUAUUUAUAGCGAUACUUGACUAGCAGAAUCAGUUCUAUGUUCAAGACACUCCCAAUUUGUGAAAAUAAAUCCAUUUUGUUUGCAUCCAAAAUAAUGCUUUUUUUUUUGUUCUCUCUGUGUCGAGAGGCUACAGAGUUCAUUCAAAAAAGGUAUUAAGCCAGGUGUGGUGGCUUGCACCUAUAAUCACAGCAUUUUGGGAGGCCAAAGCAAGGGGACUGCUUGAGCCCAGGAGCUCAAGACCAGCCUGGGGAACAUAGGCAGACCCCGUCUCUACAAAAAAUAAAAAAAUUAACUGGGCUUGGUGGUGUGUACCUGUGGUCCCAGCUACUCAGGAGGCUGAGGUGGGAGGAUCACUUGAGCCCAGGUGGUUGAGGCUGCAGUGAGCCAUGAUCAUGCCACCGCACUCCAGCCUGGGCAACAGAGUGAGAUCCCAUCUCUAAAGGAAAAAAAAAAAAAAGAGAGAGAGCGGAAUUAAAGCCAGGUGCAGUGGCUCCUGCCUGUAAUCCCAGCUAUUCGGGAGGCUGAGGUGGGAGGAUUACUUGAGGCCAGAAGUUUCAGGUUGCAGUGAGCUACAAUCAUGUGCUGUACUACUCCAGCCUGGGUGACAGAGUGAGAUGUGAGACUCCAUCUCUUUAAAAAAAAAAAAAAAAACCAGGCUGGGCGCAGUGGCUCACACCUGUAAUCCCAGCACUUUGGGAGGCGGAGGCAGGUGGAUCACAACAUCAGAAGUUCGAGACCAGCCUGACCAACAUAGUGAAACUAAAAUUAGUUUCUACUAAAAAACACGUCUCUACUAAAAAUACAAAAAAUUAGCUAGGCAUGGUGGCGGGUGCCUGUAAUCCCAGCUACUCGGGAGGCUGAGGCAGGAGAAUCGCUUGAACCUGGGAGGUGGAGGUUGCAGUGAGCUGAGAUCACGUCACUGCACUCCAGCCUGGGCAACAGUGCGAGACUCCGUCUCAAAAAAAAAAAAAAAAAAAACCCAGCCUGUGUGACGUGGUGAGACCCUGUCCCUACUAAAAAUACAAAAAUUAUCCAGGCGUGGUGUUGCCCACCCAUAGUGCCAGCUACUCAGGAGGCUGAGGUAGGAGGAUCACCUGAGCUAUGGGAGGUCGAGGCUGCAGUGAGCCAUGAUUGUGUCACUGCACUCCAGUCUGGGCCACAGAGUGAGAUACCAUCUCAAAAAAAAAAAAAGUAUUAUGUAUUUAAACAAAUAUGAAAAAGGAGGUAGCCCAGGACACAUCCCUGAUUUACCCACUAGAAAUUAAUUACUGACGGGGCACGGUAGCCCAUGCCUGUAAUCCCAGCACUUUAAGGGGCUGAGGCAGUGGAUUGCUUAAGCUCAGGAGUUUGAGACUAGCCUGAGCAACAUGGCAAAACCCUGUCUCUACAAAAAUUAAAAAAAUACAAAAAUUACCCGGGCCCUCUCAUUCACAGCUUCUCAGGUAAAAAAAAAAAAAGAAAAAGAAAAAGAAAAAAAAAAUAGCUGGAGGCUGGGUGCGGUGGCUCAUGCCACACCUGUAAUCCCACACUUUGGGAGGCCAAUGCAGGCAGAUCACUUGAGGCCAAGAGUUCUAGACUACCCUGGCCAACAUGGUGAAACCCCAUCUCUACUAAAAAUACAAACAUUAGCCAGGUGUGGUGGCACACGCCUGUAGUCCCAGCUCCUCGGGAGGCUGAGGUAGGAUAAUUGCUUGAACCUGGGAGGCAGAGGUUGCAGUGAGCCGAGAUUGCACCACUGCACUCCAGCCUGGGCGAUAGAGUGAGACUUCAUCUAAAAAAAUAAAAAUAAUAAUAAUAAUAAUAAUGAUAAUAAUAAUAGCCAGGCGUGGUGGCACAUGCCUGUUGUCCCAGUUACUCAGGAGGCUGAGGUGGGAGGAUUGCUUGAGCCCGGGAGGUCGAGGCUUCAGUGAGCUGUGAUUUUGCCACUGCACUCCAGUGGCACAAGAGAGCAAGAGAGCAAGAGGGCAAGACCCUGUCUCAAAAUAAAAUAAAAUAAAGAAAGAAAUUAUUUGCCAUGCCUGCUAGCCCUGAUUCUUGAUAUUGCUUGAUAUUGUCAUGAGGGUUCUAUGUGGGCAUGAAUAGCUAAGGCUCUUUAUUGAACAUGGGCAGCUUUGUCAUUAAUCAAGUCUGGGUCGGGGCAAAGGCGAAGAAAAUGUUUUAAAUGAUUCAUUUUUUUUUAAUUUUAUUUUUAUUUUUAUUUUAUUUUAUUUUAUUUUUGAGACAGAGUCUUGCUCUGUCGCCACGCUGGAGUGCAGUCCCGGGUUUAAGCAAUUCUCCUGCCUCAGCCUUCCGAGUAGCUGGGACUACAGGUGUGCACCACCACGUUCAGCUAAUUUUUUGUAUUUUUAGUAGAGAUGAGGUUUCGCCAUGUUGGCCAGAAUGGUCUCGAUCUCUUGACCUCAUGAUCCACCCACCUCAGCCUCCCAAAGUGUUGGGGUUACAGGUGUGAACCACUGCGCCUGGCCUUUUAUUUUUAUUUUUACAGAGACAAAGUCUCACUAUGUUGCCCAGGCUGGUCUUGAACUUCUGAGCUCAAGUGAUUUUCCCAUCUCGGCCCUAGGAUUACAGGCGUGAGCCUCCAGCCCUGGCUAUUCUAAAUGAU